ACUCCAGACUCCUACGGGAGGCAGCAGUGGGGAAUAUUGCACAAUGGGGGAAACCCUGAUGCAGCGACGCCGCGUGAGUGAAGAAGUCUUUCGGUAUGUAAAGCUCUAUCAGCAGGGAAGAAAAUGACGGUACCUGACUAAGAAGCCCCGGCUAACUACGUGCCAGCAGCCGCGGUAAUACGUAGGGGGCAAGCGUUAUCCGGAUUUACUGGGUGUAAAGGGAGCGUAGACGGCAUGGCAAGUCAGAUGUGAAAGCCCGGGGCUCAACCCCGGGACUGCAUUUGAAACUGUAGGUCUUGAGUAUCGGAGAGGCAGGCGGAAUUCCUAGUGUAGCGGUGAAAUGCGUAGAUAUUAGGAGGAACACCAGUGGCGAAGGCGGCCUGCUGGACGACAACUGACGGUGAGGCGCGAAAGCGUGGGGAGCAAACAGGAUUAGAUACCCGGGUAAG
Molecule: ribosomal RNA, 449 nt
Filed under: uncultured bacterium
Lineage: Bacteria
Description: bacterial SSU rRNA
Rfam family: Bacterial small subunit ribosomal RNA
Source: RNAcentral